RNAcentral lists this ribosomal RNA (292 nucleotides) under uncultured bacterium. RNAcentral's name for it is "partial 16S ribosomal RNA". The record is from RNAcentral.
GGACUACUGGGGUUUCUAAUCCCGUUCGCUCCCCUAGCUUUCGCGUCUCAGUGUCAGUUAGCAGCCAGAAAGUCGCCUUCGCCGCUGGUGUUCCUCCCGAUAUCUACGCAUUUCACUACUACACCGGGAAUUCCACUUUCCUCUCUGCCACUCUAGCCGCGCAGUAUUGGCAGCAUUUUCCCGGUUAAGCCGGGAGAUUUCACAACCAACUUACGCAACCACCUACACGCGCUUUGCGCCCAGUAAAUCCGGAUAACGCUCGCCCCCUACGUAUUACCGCGGCUGCUGGCAC